Molecule: ribosomal RNA, 421 nt
Filed under: uncultured Proteiniphilum sp.
Lineage: Bacteria; Pseudomonadati; Bacteroidota; Bacteroidia; Bacteroidales; Dysgonomonadaceae
Description: bacterial SSU rRNA
Rfam family: Bacterial small subunit ribosomal RNA
Source: RNAcentral
UGAGGAAUAUUGGUCAAUGGACGCAAGUCUGAACCAGCCACGUCGCGUGAAGGAAGACGGCCCUACGGGUUGUAAACUUCUUUUAUACGGGAAUAAAGUGCCCCACGUGUGGGGUUUUGCAUGUACCGUAUGAAUAAGGAUCGGCUAACUCCGUGCCAGCAGCCGCGGUAAUACGGAGGAUCCGAGCGUUAUCCGGAUUUAUUGGGUUUAAAGGGUGCUCAGGCGGGGGGUUAAGUCGGCGGUGAAAUUUUGCAGCUCAACUGUAAAAGUGCCUUCGAAACUGGUUCCCUUGAGUGCGGAUGAGGUAGGCGGAAUUUGUGGUGUAGCGGUGAAAUGCAUAGAUAUCACGAGGAACUCCGAUUGCGCAGGCAGCUUACCAAGCCGUAACUGACGCUCAAGCACGAAGCGUGGGGAUCAAACA